UGGGGAAUAUUGGACAAUGGGCGCAAGCCUGAUCCAGCCAUGCCGCGUGUGUGAAGAAGGCCUUUUGGUUGUAAAGCACUUUAAGCGAGGAGGAGGCUACUUGGAUUAAUACUCUAGGAUAGUGGACGUUACUCGCAGAAUAAGCACCGGCUAACUCUGUGCCAGCAGCCGCGGUAAUACAGAGGGUGCGAGCGUUAAUCGGAUUUACUGGGCGUAAAGCGUGCGUAGGCGGCUUCUUAAGUCGGAUGUGAAAUCCCUGAGCUUAACUUAGGAAGUGCAUUCGAUACUGGGAAGCUAGAGUAUGGGAGAGGAUGGUAGAAUUCCAGGUGUAGCGGUGAAAUGCGUAGAGAUCUGGAGGAAUACCGAUGGCGAAGGCAGCCAUCUGGCCUAAUACUGACGCUGAGGUACGAAAGCAUGGGGAGCAAACAGG
RNAcentral lists this ribosomal RNA (430 nucleotides) under Brucella melitensis. RNAcentral describes it as "partial 16S ribosomal RNA". It matches the Rfam family "Bacterial small subunit ribosomal RNA", at positions 355 to 776 of the family's 1533-position model. The record is from RNAcentral. RNAcentral also lists the same sequence under 1 other name. Lineage: Bacteria; Pseudomonadati; Pseudomonadota; Alphaproteobacteria; Hyphomicrobiales; Brucellaceae.